AAUCGCAAGCCGUGUUUAGGUGCUUGUUGGCAUUGUCGACAAGGUAAACGGGAAAUCGGUGCAAAUCCGAUACUGCCCCCGCAACGGUAAUAGGUUAAAGUCAAUCAGAAGCCACUGCGUUUGGCGUGGGAAGGCGAUUGACUGUGGCAUUGGGAAUACGAAGUAAAUCUUAAUUCCGAGCACCUUGAAAUAAAUCUACAAAACGAAGUUUCAAGGUUUUGCCUACUUAUAAGUCCGGAUACCGGCCUAAAUAUUGUUUUUAUG
This 264-nucleotide non-coding RNA is filed under the name Beggiatoa sp. The record is from RNAcentral. Lineage: Bacteria; Pseudomonadati; Pseudomonadota; Gammaproteobacteria; Thiotrichales; Thiotrichaceae.